Molecule: non-coding RNA, 692 nt
Organism: Podarcis lilfordi (Lilford's wall lizard)
Lineage: Eukaryota; Metazoa; Chordata; Lepidosauria; Squamata; Lacertidae
Source: the annotation of a GenBank genome assembly
GAGAUCACAUCUGCCAGUUCUUUUAAUACUCUUGGAUGCAGUUCAUCUGGCCCUGGAGACUUGAAUACAUCUAGACUAGCCAAGUAUUCUUGUACUAUCUCCUUAGUUAUUCUGGGCUGUGUUUCCUCUGCUGAAUCAUUUGCUCCAAAUUCUUCAGGUCGGGCAUUGUUUUCUUUAUCGGAGAAGACUGAGGCAAAGAAGGCAUUGAGGAGUUCAGCCCUUUCUGUGUCCCCUGUUUGCAUUUCACCAUCUUCUCCUCUGAGUGACCCCACUGUUUCUUUGUUCUUCCUUUUGCUACGAACAUACCCAUAAAAGCCUUUUUGUUGCUUUUAACCUCUCUAGCAAGCCUGAGUUCAUUCUGUGCUUUAGCUUUUCUGACUUUGUGUCUACACGUGCUGGCUAUUUGUUUGAAUUCCUCUUUGGUGGUUUCCCCCCUUUUCCAUUUUUUGUACACAUCCUUUUUUAAUCUUAACUCGGUUAAAAGUUCUUUAGAUAGCCACCCUGGCUUCUUUAGGCACCUUCCAUGUUUCCAUCUCAUUGGUAUUGCCUGAAGUUGUGCUUUUACUAUCUCCCUCUUAACAAACUCCCAGCCAUCAUGAGCUCCUUUCCUUUUAGUAUUACUGUCCAUGGGAUCUCACCCAGCACUUCCCUAAGUUUUAUGAAGUCGGCUUUCUUAAAGUCAAGAAAUUGAG